Molecule: long non-coding RNA, 1116 nt
Organism: Puntigrus tetrazona (Sumatra barb)
Lineage: Eukaryota; Metazoa; Chordata; Actinopteri; Cypriniformes; Cyprinidae
Exons: 2
Source: RefSeq, a predicted model, not a curated record
UUAACAACGUUGUUUUUCAUGCCCGCGAGUUUAAGCGACACCGAUAGUGUGAUUAAUUAGCUCCUGCGACGCAAAUUUUACUAGGGAAACCUUGCUAAAGAAACACGUAUUUUACUUCCCUGAAGGCGAUUGGGAGGGUUUUGUUGUGAGAAUGUGGCAACCCUGGCUAAAAGGAUUUUCAGGCAGCAGCAGCAUAGAAACUUCAGCCCAUUAAAGCUGGAUGUUAGAGAAAUUUAAAGAUGUAUUGCUGGAAUGGUUGGACACCCUAGGUCAGCCUUCGGCUCCACCUGAAGACGGAAAACACUACUUAAAAUCUUAUUUUGAUCCAUUAAAUAGACACAAAGUUGGCAGCACAAAGGGUCUGUAAAUGCAUAAUGGUAAGGUCGAAUGAAAUUUCUCAAGAUAUUAAAGAAAAGAUCAUUUCUUACCAUAAGUCUGGUAAGGGCUACAAAUCCAUUUCAAAGACUAUGGGACUGCACAAAUCCACAAUCAGAUCUAUCAUUUGCAAAUGGAAAGCACUCGGAACCGUGAUGAACCUUCCCAGGAGUGGUCGACCGCCGAAAAUGUCUUCAAAGGCUAAGCGUAAAAUCAUCAAGGAAAUCGCGAAGAAACCUGAAAUAACGACCAAAGAACUGCAAGAGCGUCUUGCCCUAGCUAAAGUCAAAGUAUCUGAAGUCACAAUCAGAAGAACACUGAGGAAACUGGGCUAUGUGAGAGAGUAUGAAACUGAAAAUCAGUGCAGAAAAGAGUAAGGCUUUUGAUGCCAGUGUUUCAGCCAAAAGUGUUUAUGUAAAUGUUUAAAGCCAGAGUUUUUUUAUGUUAAAUGAAAAAGACUACAGCAUCAUAUAAGACAAACUGCACUCUUGUGUUCUGUACUAUAUAGUAUUUUUCUUACAAAGAAAAAUGUUUCUCAAUAUUGUUAUUCCAAUGGAAAUAUAUAUAAAUAUAUAUGUGAUAUAAAUUGUGUGUCAUGUUGCUAAUUUGCUUUAUGAAUGACUGGUUGGGAUAUGUGCAAUGUUGUGCUUUUGUAUCAAGUGUAAACUAGAUUUUUCUUUUCAAAACGUUUCCAUUAAAAUGUCUUCAUAUUGCUGCAUUUACAAUAAAUGAUUAAAUAAG